Molecule: ribosomal RNA, 428 nt
Filed under: uncultured bacterium
Lineage: Bacteria
Description: bacterial SSU rRNA
Rfam family: Bacterial small subunit ribosomal RNA
Source: RNAcentral
GUGGGGAAUAUUGCACAAUGGGGGAAACCCUGAUGCAGCGACGCCGCGUGAGUGAAGAAGUAUUUCGGUAUGUAAAGCUCUAUCAGCAGGGAAGAAAGAAAUGACGGUACCUGACUAAGAAGCCCCGGCUAACUACGUGCCAGCAGCCGCGGUAAUACGUAGGGGGCAAGCGUUAUCCGGAUUUACUGGGUGUAAAGGGAGCGUAGACGGCAUGGCAAGUCUGAAGUGAAAUGCCAGGGCUUAACCCUGGAACUGCUUUGGAAACUGUCUAGCUAGAGUGCAGGAGAGGUAAGUGGAAUUCCUAGUGUAGCGGUGAAAUGCGUAGAUAUUAGGAGGAACACCAGUGGCGAAGGCGGCUUACUGGACUGUAACUGACGUUGAGGCUCGAAGGCGUGGGGAGCAAACAGGAUUAGAUACCCUUGUAGUCC